Molecule: ribosomal RNA, 484 nt
Filed under: uncultured bacterium
Lineage: Bacteria
Description: partial 16S ribosomal RNA
Rfam family: Bacterial small subunit ribosomal RNA
Source: RNAcentral
AUUGAACGCUGGCGGCAGGCCUAACACAUGCAAGUCGAGCGGAUGAAGGGAGCUUGCUCCUGGAUUCAGCGGCGGACGGGUGAGUAAUGCCUAGGAAUCUGCCUGGUAGUGGGGGAUAACGUCCGGAAACGGGCGCUAAUACCGCAUACGUCCUGAGGGAGAAAGUGGGGGAUCUUCGGACCUCACGCUAUCAGAUGAGCCUAGGUCGGAUUAGCUAGUUGGUGGGGUAAAGGCCUACCAAGGCGACGAUCCGUAACUGGUCUGGGAGGAUGAUCAGUCACACUGGAACCGAGACACGGUCCAGACUCCUACGGGAGGCAGCAGUGGGGAAUAUUGGACAAUGGGCGAAAGCCUGAUCCAGCCAUGCCGCGUGUGUGAAGAAGGUCUUCGGAUUGUAAAGCACUUUAAGUUGGGAGGAAGGGCAGUAAGUUAAUACCUUGCUGUUUUGACGUUACCAACAGAAUAAGCACCGGCUAACUUCGUG